RNAcentral lists this ribosomal RNA (1120 nucleotides) under Thelebolales sp. F5a. RNAcentral describes it as "SSU rRNA". It matches the Rfam family "Eukaryotic small subunit ribosomal RNA", at positions 150 to 1278 of the family's 1831-position model. The record is from RNAcentral. Lineage: Eukaryota; Fungi; Ascomycota; Leotiomycetes; Thelebolales. RNAcentral also lists the same sequence under 2 other names.
UGGUAAUUCUAGAGCUAAUACAUGCUAAAAACCUCGACUUCGGAAGGGGUGUAUUUAUUAGAUAAAAAACCAAUGCCCUUCGGGGCUCCUUGGUGAUUCAUGAUAACUUAACGAAUCGCAUGGCCUUGUGCCGGCGAUGGUUCAUUCAAAUUUCUGCCCUAUCAACUUUCGAUGGUAGGAUAGUGGCCUACCAUGGUUUCAACGGGUAACGGGGAAUUAGGGUUCUAUUCCGGAGAGGGAGCCUGAGAAACGGCUACCACAUCCAAGGAAGGCAGCAGGCGCGCAAAUUACCCAAUCCCGACACGGGGAGGUAGUGACAAUAAAUACUGAUACAGGGCUCUUUUGGGUCUUGUAAUUGGAAUGAGUACAAUUUAAAUCCCUUAACGAGGAACAAUUGGAGGGCAAGUCUGGUGCCAGCAGCCGCGGUAAUUCCAGCUCCAAUAGCGUAUAUUAAAGUUGUUGCAGUUAAAAAGCUCGUAGUUGAACCUUGGGCCUGGUUGGUCGGUCCGCCUCGCGGCGUGCACUGAUCCGACCGGGCCUUUCCUUCUGGGGAACCGCAUGUUCUUCAUUGAGUGUGUCGGGGAUCCAGGACUUUUACUUUGAAAAAAUUAGAGUGUUCAAAGCAGGCCUAUGCUCGAAUACAUUAGCAUGGAAUAAUAGAAUAGGACGUGUGGUUCUAUUUUGUUGGUUUCUAGGACCGCCGUAAUGAUUAAUAGGGAUAGUCGGGGGCAUCAGUAUUCCGUUGUCAGAGGUGAAAUUCUUGGAUUUACGGAAGACUAACUACUGCGAAAGCAUUUGCCAAGGAUGUUUUCAUUAAUCAGUGAACGAAAGUUAGGGGAUCGAAGACGAUCAGAUACCGUCGUAGUCUUAACCAUAAACUAUGCCGACUAGGGAUCGGGCGAUGUUAUCUUUUUGACUCGCUCGGCACCUUACGAGAAAUCAAAGUUUUUGGGUUCUGGGGGGAGUAUGGUCGCAAGGCUGAAACUUAAAGAAAUUGACGGAAGGGCACCACCAGGAGUGGAGCCUGCGGCUUAAUUUGACUCAACACGGGGAAACUCACCAGGUCCAGACACAAUAAGGAUUGACAGAUUGAGAGCUCUUUCUUGAUUUUGUGGGUGGU